This 150-nucleotide non-coding RNA is filed under the name pig gut metagenome. RNAcentral describes it as "glmS glucosamine-6-phosphate activated ribozyme". It matches the Rfam family "glmS glucosamine-6-phosphate activated ribozyme aptamer". From Rfam's summary of the family: This entry contains a glucosamine-6-phosphate activated ribozyme that is found in the mRNA for GlmS. The record is from RNAcentral.
AAUUAUAAAGCGCCAGGGCCAAUUGGUUAGUGCAAAUUGGUUGACGAGGUCUAGGGUUAUCGAAAGAUUCGGCGGAUGCCCUAGUGGCUUUUACUUAAGGCCAUAUUAUUAAUUAAAAACUGAUAGUAAUAUCAGAACAGAAAUUAGUAU